UACGGGGGGGGCAAGCGUUGUUCGGAAUUACUGGGCGUAAAGGGCUUGUUGGUGGCCAACUAAGUCAGACGUGAAAUCCCUCGGCUUAACCGGGGAACUGCGUCUGAUACUGGAUGGCUUGAGUUUGGGAGAGGGAUGCGGAAUUCCAGGUGUAGCGGUGAAAUGCGUAGAUAUCUGGAGGAACACCGGUGGCGAAGGCGGCAUCCUGGACCAAUACUGACACUGAAAAGCGAAAGCCAGGGGAGCAAACGGG
Molecule: ribosomal RNA, 253 nt
Filed under: uncultured bacterium
Lineage: Bacteria
Description: partial 16S ribosomal RNA
Rfam family: Bacterial small subunit ribosomal RNA
Source: RNAcentral